AGGCACCGCGCUGCUUCCCUCUGCUCUCCCUCACUGUACUACCCGGAGCUCCGAGCUCAGCCUCUGCUCUGAAGAAAACUGAGAAUGGAGCAGUACAGAAUGUAGCCAGAAGGAUGGUUCCACGACUCCCACCCAGGGUGAGAAAGAAGAGCUGUUUUCCAAUGGUUGCCAUAGACGGGUGAGAGAGAAGAGGAAGGAGGUGAGAGCCUACAAAAUUCUGCCAAGAAAGCAGAGAUUUGGGGGAAUUCAAGCCACGCUCUGUGGUUUUUGUAGGUGCGACUGGACCACUCACCACCAACACUUCACGCUCUCCUUCCCUUGCCGGGCGGACUGGGGGUAACGACGCCGAUGAUAUCCCGGGAUACCCGGGGGACUGAAUCAGGCAGAGCCACAGAGGCUGCAAACUACAAGAAUCAAAUCCCAACAUUAUUCCAUUUUGUUCCCUUCUCCCUUUUCUUAGCUUUGUCUCCUCUUCCAGGACCCCACCUGGACCUCAUUUCAAUGGAUCUCAGAUAAUUUAUUAAGGAAUACUAAGCAGUUUCUAUGUUUUUGGCUGCCCUGUUUCCUACAGUAUACAGACUAGAGUGUUUCCACUUGGUCCAAAACCCCGGCCGAGGUUGAGGGUAAGUGGUCCUUUACAAUACCAAGGCCUCUGACUAUAGGUCUAUUUCCGGUUAUUGGUGGAGGGUGUGUGUCAUCGUGCAAGGAGGGGAAACGACCAGGUCCCUGCCUGCUGAUCCUCUGAAAAAGACCUGCCAGGUCUUUGCCAGAGUGUGCCCUGAAAAACAGCCAAGGCACAAAUUAACACCCACUUUCCGGCAAUGGGAACAAUUCCUGAAAAAGCCACUUCCACAAAACCCGAGGCAACCUGGAAUAAUCCAGGAGCCAAGACACAAUUUAUUACUUCACAAAGAACAUAGAAUUCUGAUCCAGCAGCAAAGUAGCUGCUGGGUUUUUUUCCUUUCCCACACAAGCUGCAUUUCAAAGGUCUGACAGUUGCAAUUUACAAGCCCAGCCUGUGAGAGGAAUGCUUUACAUAGCCGAAGAUUUAUAGAAUGUCAUAAGUGAAGACAGCAUAGGGUAGGGAUCGGGUCCUCCUUAGUCCCUCAUCUUAGACUUGGGGCCACCGAGGCACGGGAAGAGCAAGCAAGAAACUUGCCCAGGAUCGCACACAGCGAUAGGCGAUGAGCCAGCCAGCCGUGAAACCGAGCUACUUGGACCCCGGAUCACUUCUGUCUCCAGCUCCUCCAAUCUUUCGAUCACAUUCGAACAUCAAUCAUGUUCUCCAAGUAACGUUUUAAAAGAAAUAUUUUUCAUUUUCAAACUAGCAGAAUCCAAAAGGGGAUCCAGGCAUAGCUGAGAAGUACGGAGCCUCGCAACAGCAAGGGUUAAUUUUUAACCCUUCCAAGCCACGUUGCCAUGAAAAGAGGUAGUCGGUAAGACGGGGCCUGACGUUGCGGUGUGCGUCCGGCGACCCAGGACAACACACGAAGGCACUGCUUGUGAGAAUGUGAAUGGCAAAACCAUUCUGAAGAGAGAGAGAAAAAAAAAAAAAGACAAUAUGAAUGAGAUGUCCAAACCUCAGUUUUGAGCCAGAAUUCCCACUUUAGGAACUUUCGCUGAGGAAGACACCAGAAGGAAGAGCAAACAUGCAAUGUACAUGUUUCCAGCAAAACACCCAGAAACAAUGAUCCCGGAGCCGGAUGGCGAUGCUUAUCUCUGCUCCAGCAUCUGUCAAGCCUUCCUAAUUACUCCUGCAGGUGGCCAGAUGGAAUGGGCUUGUGCCCAGGACAGAAAUGUGACCUCAGUGACUAAUGCCCUUCCUUCCCCUGGUACAAAGGAGUCUUCUUUCUGCUCCCUUGCAGAUGUGCUCGACGAUUCUUCUUCUUCCGUGUAUGCUCAGAGAAGCUGAUGUAGGCAAGGGGGCUCUAACUCUGACAUCAGCUGGCCUGGGUUUGAGGACUGGCUCUGCCAUUUAUUUGCUGCCCAACUUUAAGCAAGUAUCUUCACUUCUCCAAACCCGAUUUUCUUCUUGUGUAAAGGUGUAAUUUAUACAUCACAAAAUGCACCAGCCUUAAGUGUACCGUUCCCCGAGUUCAGACAAACAUUUGCAAACAUUACAGAUGUUUAUACUCAUGUAUCCACCACCCGAGUCAAAGCAGAGAACAUUUCCAUUACCUGAGAAAUUCCCUCCUGCCCCUUUCAAGUCCAUUUCUGUAAACCGAAGCAUCCACUUCCCGAUUUCUGUUACCAUAGCUUAGUUCCACCUGUCUUAGAACUUCACAGAAACCAAACCCUGUGGAUCAGCUCUUCUGUGUCUGGCUUCUUUUGAUCAACAUAAUGGUUUCGAGAUUCAGCCAUGUUGUUGGAUCACAGUUUGGUCCUUUCUGUUGAAUGUGUCUCUUGUGUGAAUAUACUCUGAUUUGUUUAUCCACUCACCUAUUGAUGGGUGUUUUCUGUUUGGGUCUGUUAUGAAUAGAGCUGUGAUUAACACUCUUGUUCAAAUCCUCUGCGUGUAUGUGUGUGUGUGCACGUGUAUUUUGAUUUCAAGUCCUCUUGUGUGUGUGUGUGUGUGUGUGUGUAAGCAU
Molecule: long non-coding RNA, 2588 nt
Organism: Mustela erminea (ermine)
Lineage: Eukaryota; Metazoa; Chordata; Mammalia; Carnivora; Mustelidae
Exons: 4
Source: RefSeq, a predicted model, not a curated record